Molecule: ribosomal RNA, 253 nt
Filed under: uncultured bacterium
Lineage: Bacteria
Description: partial 16S ribosomal RNA
Rfam family: Bacterial small subunit ribosomal RNA
Source: RNAcentral
UACGUAGGGUGCAAGCGUUGUCCGGAAUUAUUGGGCGUAAAGAGCUCGUAGGCGGUUUGUCGCGUCUGCUGUGAAAACCGGAGGCUCAACCUCCGGCCUGCAGUGGGUACGGGCAGACUAGAGUGCGGUAGGGGAGAUUGGAAUUCCUGGUGUAGCGGUGGAAUGCGCAGAUAUCAGGAGGAACACCGAUGGCGAAGGCGGCAUCCUGGACCGAUACUGACGCUGAGGAGCGAAAGCCAGGGGAGCAAACGGG